AGUAAAUGAUAAAUGAUAUAUGAACUGCUAGUGUCUGUUUAUUAUUAUUUAUCAGCACACACUGUCUGAUUCACUGCACAUACGUUUUGCGCUGAAAUACUGAUCAUCUCUUUUAAUUGACAGUUUUCACUUGCCAAACCAAGAGCAGCAAAUAAAUGAAGUGUGUGAUUACCAACAAAUGUAGAUCAUCUGCUGGUGGAAUAAGCACAAAACAAACACAAACGCCUAAAGCUUUGUGAUGAUCUCUUACCAAACGCAUCAGAGAGAUCGAAUCCUGCAGCAUUAUCUGGAGGAAACACAGAAGCACAUGUAAACACGAAGCUGAACGUGACGGACACUACUGACGGCAAUAGAGAGGAAAAUAUGUCCUAGUCAAAACCACAUGAUUAUUUCAGGCUUCCCAGCCCUCCGUCCGAUGCAUUUCUUUGACUUUUCCAGGCCUUUACGGUUACAGGAUAUUUGAAGGAUUUUAAAAAUCAUUUUUAUUAAAGAUUGCAUUCGGAAAGAGCAGCUUCUGGCUAUGA
Carassius carassius (crucian carp) is the source of this 524-nucleotide long non-coding RNA. RefSeq lists it as uncharacterized. Lineage: Eukaryota; Metazoa; Chordata; Actinopteri; Cypriniformes; Cyprinidae. The record is from RefSeq and is a predicted model, not a curated record. The transcript has 3 exons.